RNAcentral lists this unclassified non-coding RNA (314 nucleotides) under plant metagenome. RNAcentral describes it as "partial contains 5.8S ribosomal RNA, internal transcribed spacer 2, and large subunit ribosomal RNA". The stretch from base 1 to 105 matches the Rfam family "5.8S ribosomal RNA", at positions 50 to 154 of the family's 154-position model. The record is from RNAcentral.
GAAAUGCGAUAAUUAAUGUGAAUUGCAGAAUUCAGUGAAUCAUCGAGUCUUUGAACACACAUUGUGCCCCCUGGUAUUCCGGGGGGCAUGCCUGUCCGAGCGUCAUUGCUGCCCUCAAGCACGGCUUGUGUGUUGGGCUUCCGUCCCUGGCAACGGGGACGGGCCCAAAAGGCAGUGGCGGCACCAUGUCUGGUCCUCGAGCGUAUGGGGCUUUGUCACCCGCUCCCGUAGGUCCAGCUGGCAGCUAGCCUCGCAACCAAUCUUUUUAACCAGGUUGACCUCGGAUCAGGUAGGGAUACCCGCUGAACUUAAGC